This 511-nucleotide ribosomal RNA is filed under the name uncultured bacterium. RNAcentral describes it as "bacterial SSU rRNA". It matches the Rfam family "Bacterial small subunit ribosomal RNA", at positions 791 to 1300 of the family's 1533-position model. The record is from RNAcentral.
UAGUCCACGCCGUAAACGAUGAGUACUAAUUAUUGUGGGUAUUGACCCCUACAGUAAUGUAGCUAACGCGUUAAGUACUCCGCCUGGGAAGUUCGGUCGCAAGACUAAAACUCAAAGGAAUUGACGGGGGCCCGCACAAGCGGUGGAUCAUGUGGUUUAAUUCGAAGCAACGCGCAAAACCUUACCUGGGUUUGAAAUCCUGCGAACUAUUCAGAGAUGAUAAGGUGCCCUUCGGGGAACGCAGUGACAGGUGCUGCAUGGCUGUCGUCAGCUCGUGUUGUGAAAUGUUGGGUUAAGUCUCGCAACGAGCGCAACCCCUGUUGUUAGUUGCCAGCAUUAAGUUGGGCACUCUAGCAAGACUGCCCGGGUUAACCGGGAGGAAGGUGGGGAUGACGUCAAGUCCUCAUGGCCCUUAUAUCCAGGGCCACACACGUGAUACAAUGGUGCAUACAAAGGGAAGCUAAGCAGUGAUGUGUAGCAAAUCCCAAAAAGUGCAUCUCAGUCCGGAUUG